UCCUGGGUAGCUGAACUGUUAAAGAAUUUGCCUGUAGUGCAGAAGACCCAGGUUCGAUUCCUGGGUCAGGAA
This 72-nucleotide transfer RNA is filed under the name Bos taurus (domestic cattle). It matches the Rfam family "tRNA". From Rfam's summary of the family: Transfer RNA (tRNA) molecules are approximately 80 nucleotides in length. Their secondary structure includes four short double-helical elements and three loops (D, anti-codon, and T loops). The record is from Rfam by way of RNAcentral. RNAcentral also lists the same sequence under 2 other names. Lineage: Eukaryota; Metazoa; Chordata; Mammalia; Artiodactyla; Bovidae.